RNAcentral lists this ribosomal RNA (442 nucleotides) under uncultured bacterium. Its description in RNAcentral is "partial 16S ribosomal RNA". It matches the Rfam family "Bacterial small subunit ribosomal RNA", at positions 338 to 795 of the family's 1533-position model. The record is from RNAcentral.
CCUACGGGAGGCAGCAGUGGGGGAUAUUGGACAAUGGGGGGAACCCUGAUCCAGCGACGCCGCGUGAGUGAAGAAGUAUUUCGGUAUGUAAUGCUCUGUCAGCAGGGAAGAAAGAAAUGACGGUACCUGACCAAGAAGCCCCGGCUAACUACGUGCCAGCCGCCGCGGUAAUACGUAGGGGGCAAGCGUUAUCCGGAUUUAUUGGGGUUAAAGGGUGCGUAGGCGGAAUAUCAAGUCAGCGGUAAAAAUUCGGGGCCCAACCCCGUCGUGCCGGUGACACUGAUGUUCUUGAGUGGGCGAGAAGUAUGCGGAAUGCGUGGUGUAGCGGUGAAAUGCAUAGAUAUCACGCAGAACUCCGAUUGCGAAGGCAGCAUACCGGCGCCCAACUGACGCUGAAGCACGAAAGCGUGGGUAUCGAACAGGAUUAGAUACCCCAGUAGUC